GCGGGGGCCACUGACCAGCAGGCAUAGACUUCACCUUCUCUGGCCCCCGGCCCUUCCCGGCCUGGACAGGAGCGGACCGAAGGGGCUUGGCGUGUACCACACAGGCUGUGCCGGGAGUCCAAGAAGCAGCCUUAGGAAAGAGAGAGUUCUGAAUACCUUUGCAGAUGGAAUGUUCUAUUGUCAAAGACGCUCUUCAGUUCCUUCUAGAGCAACGUCACUUCUGCAUGGAGCACUAAGCGGGAAACUGAGCAAGGACGGAACGCAGUCAAGAAGCAAACUUGAAGUCGACAUUACUGCUUCAGGGGAACGUGGGGUAAUGAGGCCUCCACGGCUGGCUUGUUUAGAGACGCUGGCACCCAGAAAAGGCUCAAGACUCAGAAUCUGUUGCGACAGGAGAGGCACCACUUCAGCUGAGCGAGAACUCAAGCCCUCACAUCUCUAUGCGAUGUCACCGAACGCCCUUGGGACAUUUUCAAAGAGCGUCCAUCCGUCCACCCAUCCACCCACCCAUCCAUUCAUCGAUCCUUCCAUCCUUGCAUCCAUUCAGCAACAAACACUGGUCACCGUCUCUGAGCCAGGCCCUAUCCAGGGGCACCAUGCUGAGCCCGUACCAAGCCUCCACCGGAUGGAGGUUACAUUCUAGUGAUGGGAAAGAGGUAAUCCAUGUGGGAAGCUCAGGUGGGUGUCCGUGCCAUACAGAAAGACGUAGCAGACGUAGGAAGAGGAGGACGCCCUGUUUUCAAGGGGUUUGCAUGCUAAUGACAGGAAAUGGACAACGACCCAUGAGCAGAUCAAAUACGCGUGGGUGUGCAUGUGUGUGCACACGUGUGUACGUGUGAGUGAAUAAACAGGGUGCCCUGACAGAGAAUAAUGGGAAUGUCACUUAGAUGGAAGUGACAGGCCAAGGACUGAAGGACGGAGAAGGAGUAAUGGAGAGAGAGAGAGAGUCCAGGCAAGGGGAAGCCCCUGCAGUGGGGAGAGGGACAGAGAUGCUGCAGAGGGCCCCGUCUGUGCCCAAACGGCCCCGCGUCUCACCUGAUCUUCGCGGUGCCUCUACUGUCCCGUUGCUGCUGUGACAAACGUCCGCAAACGUAGGGGUUUAGAGCAACACAAACUUAUUCCCGUACAAUUCUGGAGGUCAGAGGUCCACAACGAGUCUGGAGGGGCUGAAAUGAAAGUGCUGGGCGGGGCUGGUUCUCUCCGGAAGUGCCCGGGGAGAAUCUUCCGGGCGCAGAGGCUGUGAUGCGCUUUUUGGUUCCUCUGCUCCCUGCUUCCGCCGGCUUCCUGCUGACUCUGGCCCUUCUGCUUUCCUCUGAGAAGGACCCUUGCGAUGGCAUUAGGCCCAUGGAGAUGCUCCGGAGUAAAGAUCGCGUCUGAAGA
Long non-coding RNA from Felis catus (domestic cat), 1380 nucleotides. RefSeq lists it as uncharacterized. NCBI's taxonomy places the organism in Eukaryota, Metazoa, Chordata, Mammalia, Carnivora, Felidae. The record is from RefSeq and is a predicted model, not a curated record. The transcript is spliced from 4 exons.